UAAUCGUGUUUAGAUUUGCUUUAUCGACAA
This 30-nucleotide non-coding RNA is filed under the name Mus musculus (house mouse). Lineage: Eukaryota; Metazoa; Chordata; Mammalia; Rodentia; Muridae. The record is from RNAcentral.